Molecule: ribosomal RNA, 118 nt
Filed under: Candidatus Beckwithbacteria bacterium CG_4_10_14_0_2_um_filter_47_25
Lineage: Bacteria; Candidatus Beckwithiibacteriota
Also listed under: 1 other name
Source: RNAcentral
UCCGGUCUUUUGAGCGCUGUCGUACCACUUCUUCCCAUCCCGAACAGAACCGUGAAAGGCAGCAGCGGGAACGAUAGUGCCGGCGUAAGCCGAGCAUGAAAAUACCUCAAGGCCGGAU